GUGAACGCUGGCGGUCGGCCUAACACAUGCCAGUCGAACGGCAGCACAGUAAGAGCUUGCUCUUACGGGCGGCGAGUGGCGGACGGGUGACGUAUACAUCGGAAUCUACUCUUUCGUGGGGGAUAACGUAGGGAAACUUACGCUACUACCGCAUACGACCUACGGGUGAUAGCAGGGGUACUUCGGCCCUUCCGCGAAUGAAUGACCCGCUGCCGGAUUAGCUAGUUGGCAGGGUAAAGGCCCGCCAAGGCGACGACCCGUAGCUGGUCUGAGAGGAUGAUCAGACACACUAGAAGUGAGACACGGUCCAGACUCGUACGGGAGGCAGCAGUGGGGAAUAUAGGACAAUGGGCGCAAGCCUGGUCCAGCCAUACCGCGUGGGUGAAGAAGGCCUUCGGGUUGGAAAGCCCUUUUGUUGGGAAGGAAAAGCAGCAGGUUAAUACCCCGCUGUUCUGACGGUACCCAAAGAAUAAGCACCGGCUAACUUCGUG
RNAcentral lists this ribosomal RNA (491 nucleotides) under uncultured bacterium. RNAcentral's name for it is "partial 16S ribosomal RNA". It matches the Rfam family "Bacterial small subunit ribosomal RNA", at positions 29 to 507 of the family's 1533-position model. The record is from RNAcentral.